This 72-nucleotide transfer RNA is filed under the name Marmota monax (woodchuck). RNAcentral describes it as "tRNA.Gly". The stretch from base 6 to 66 matches the Rfam family "tRNA", at positions 6 to 65 of the family's 71-position model. Rfam says of the family: Transfer RNA (tRNA) molecules are approximately 80 nucleotides in length. Their secondary structure includes four short double-helical elements and three loops (D, anti-codon, and T loops). Lineage: Eukaryota; Metazoa; Chordata; Mammalia; Rodentia; Sciuridae. The record is from RNAcentral.
GAAUAUAUAGCUCAGAGGUAGAUUUCUUGCCUACCAUGCAAGAUGCCCUGGGUUCAAUCCCCAGUACCACCC